This 512-nucleotide ribosomal RNA is filed under the name uncultured bacterium. Its description in RNAcentral is "partial 16S ribosomal RNA". It matches the Rfam family "Bacterial small subunit ribosomal RNA", at positions 355 to 857 of the family's 1533-position model. The record is from RNAcentral.
UGGGGAAUAUUGCACAAUGGGCGCAAGCCUGAUGCAGCCAUGCCGCGUGUGUGAAGAAGGCCUUCGGGUUGUAAAGCACUUUCAGCGAGGAGGAAGGUGGUGAGCUUAAUACGCUCAUCAAUUGACGUUACUCGCAGAAGAAGCACCGGCUAACUCCGUGCCAGCAGCCGCGGUAAUACGGAGGGUGCAAGCGUUAAUCGGAAUUACUGGGCGUAAAGCGCACGCAGGCGGUUUGUUAAGUCAGAUGUGAAAUCCCCGGGCUCAACCUGGGAACUGCAUUUGAAACUGGCAAGCUAGAGUCUCGUAGAGGGGGGUAGAAUUCCAGGUGUAGCGGUGAAAUGCGUAGAGAUCUGGAGGAAUACCGGUGGCGAAGGCGGCCCCCUGGACGAAGACUGACGCUCAGGUGCGAAAGCGUGGGGCAGCAAACAGGAUUAGAUACCCUGGUAGUCCACGCUGUAAACGAUGUCGAUUUUGGAGGUUGUGCCCUUGAGGCGUGGCUUCCGGAGCUAACG